CGAGUCGGCCGGGCGGCCGCGGCGCACGGAACGACCGGUCACCGGGCACGCCGUGUGCCGAGGAAAGUCCGGACUCCACGGAGCAGGGUGGUUGUCAACGGCAACCCGGGGUGACCCGCGGGACAGUGCCACAGAAAACAGACCGCCGACGGCAUCUCGGUGCCGCAGGUAAGGGUGAAACGGUGCGGUAAGAGCGCACCAGCGACGCGGGUGACCGCGCCGGCUAGGUAAACCCCACCCGGAGCAAGGCUGAAGCCCGCACCUUCCCGGUGCGGGUGCGCAGGUGUUCGAGGGCUGCUCGCCCGAGCCUGCGGGUGGGCCGCUUGAGGUACCCGGUGACGGUGUGCCCAGAUGGAUGGUCGCCGCCCACGCCUGGCGUGGGCACAGGAUCCGGCUUACACGCCGACUCGUUCG
RNAcentral lists this RNase P RNA (414 nucleotides) under Gordonia sp. (in: high G+C Gram-positive bacteria). RNAcentral describes it as "RNase P RNA component class A". It matches the Rfam family "Bacterial RNase P class A". From Rfam's summary of the family: Ribonuclease P (RNase P) is a ubiquitous endoribonuclease, found in archaea, bacteria and eukarya as well as chloroplasts and mitochondria. Its best characterised activity is the generation of mature 5'-ends of tRNAs by cleaving the 5'-leader elements of precursor-tRNAs. Lineage: Bacteria; Bacillati; Actinomycetota; Actinomycetes; Mycobacteriales; Gordoniaceae. The record is from RNAcentral.